This 346-nucleotide ribosomal RNA is filed under the name uncultured bacterium. RNAcentral's name for it is "partial 16S ribosomal RNA". It matches the Rfam family "Bacterial small subunit ribosomal RNA", at positions 338 to 681 of the family's 1533-position model. The record is from RNAcentral.
CCUACGGGCGGCAGCAGUGAGGAAUAGUGGUCAAUGGCCGUAAGGCUGAACCAGCCAAGUCGCGGGAAGGAAGAAGGAGCGAUGGUUUGUAAACUUCUUUUAUAGGGGAAUAAAGGGAGCCACGUGUGGAUAUUUGCAUGUACCCUAUGAAUAAGCAUCGGCUAACUCCGUGCCAGCAGCCGCGGUAAUACGGAGGAUGCGAGCGUUAUCCGGAUUUAUUGGGUUUAAAGGGGGCGUAGGUUGUUUUUUAAGUCAGCGGGGAAAGUUUGUGGCUCAACCAUAAAAUUGCCGUUGAAACUGGAAGCCUUGCGUGUGUUUGAGGUCGGCUGCAUGCGUGUUGUAGCGG